RNAcentral lists this ribosomal RNA (253 nucleotides) under uncultured bacterium. RNAcentral describes it as "partial 16S ribosomal RNA". It matches the Rfam family "Bacterial small subunit ribosomal RNA", at positions 524 to 776 of the family's 1533-position model. The record is from RNAcentral.
UACAGAGGGUGCGAGCGUUAAUCGGAAUUACUGGGCGUAAAGCGCGCGUAGGCGGCUUUGUAAGUUAGAGGUGAAAGCCUGGAGCUCAACUCCAGAACUGCCUUUAAGACUGCAUCGCUAGAAUCGUGGAGAGGUGGGUGGAAUUCCGAGUGUAGAGGUGAAAUUCGUAGAUAUUCGGAAGAACACCAGUGGCGAAGGCGACUCACUGGACACGUAUUGACGCUGAGGUGCGAAAGCGUGGGGAGCAAACAGG